This 441-nucleotide ribosomal RNA is filed under the name uncultured bacterium. Its description in RNAcentral is "partial 16S ribosomal RNA". It matches the Rfam family "Bacterial small subunit ribosomal RNA", at positions 361 to 795 of the family's 1533-position model. The record is from RNAcentral.
AUUUUGCGCAAUGGACGCAAGUCUGACGCAGCAACGCCGCGUGCGUGAUGACGCCUUUCGGGGUGUAAAGCGCUGUCGAGCGGGACGAAGGCGCGGGUGUGAAGAGCAUCCGUGGAUGACGGUACCGCUGGAGGAAGCCCCGGCUAACUCCGUGCCAGCAGCCGCGGUAAGACGGAGGGGGCAAGCGUUGUUCGGAAUUACUGGGCGUAAAGCGCGCGUAGGCGGUGGAUCAAGUGGGCAGUGAAAGCCCCCGGCUCACCCGGGGAAGGGCUGGCCAACUGAUCGACUAGAGUGCCGGAGGGGGAGGCGGAAUUCCUGGUGGAGCGGUGAAAUGCGUAGAGAUCAGGAAGAACGUCGGUGGCGAAGGCGGCCUCCUGGACGGACACUGACGCUGAGGUGCGACAGCGUGGGGAGCGAACGGGAUUAGAUACCCCCGUAGUC